GAUUGGGUCUGAGCUCUCUCGUUCCGGUUCCUCCCUCCUCACGGCGUCAUGACGGCGUCGACACCGCGGAUCACAACGGAAUCCAUCGAACAUACAGUCUAUCAGGUUUUUCCUUUGUCCCAAAUCUCCUCCUCGUAGAUGUGCAGCGCAGCGCCCCCUUUCCAUCGUAGAACUACCACGCCGCCGGCCGCCGUGCAGCACUCCUCGGUCUCGCCUCCGGCAUGGCCGCCGGGAUGCAAUAGCCCGCCUCGCCUUCGUACUACAACAACCCCCGAGAUGCCACAUGCUCCCUCGCCGGCGGUGGCGGCGGCGCACACGCCGAGAUGGGAGACGGUCGACCUGCUGUCGUCGAUGCCGUCCACGGCCUCGGCCACGACGACCACGGCCAUGCCCGGCGGCCGGGACCACAACCACGACUCCGAGGAAAGAGAUGAUGCACAUUACUCCUUUCUGCAAGUAAAGAAAGGAUAUGUUCUCAUAACAAGGAUGGAAAGUAUAACGUCCUACAAAAACCAAUAUGGACAACACAGAUCUGGUCAAAUGUUUAUGACAUUUAAGCUACCUCUAACAUUUGCUAUAAUACGGAAAAUCCUGGAUCGCUUAAUCUUCAAAACUGUUAAUUCUUUUACAGGAACUCAAGAACAACUUGGUACUCAUGUAGCUGCUAAUGACAUGUGUGCACUGGAUGAAUGGCCAUCCCAUGCUCGCCGCAACCGUGCACAACUAUGGAAUGAAAGUGAUGGACAGAAUAAGAAAGGGCGAGGUGUACUUUUCGUAUUUAGGACAAAGCAUUUAAAGAGGUUCAAAACAAAGAAAAUGAAACUGAAGGUCCAGUUUCCAGUGAACAUAGAAGCAAUAUUUUCCAGACCGCAUAGAAAGGCACUCCGCAAUGCAACUCAUCACAGCCUCAUGGGUAUGGAUACAUGGCCAAACCACCAAGUGGUUCUGAAAAGGAUUAAAUCACAAUUUGAAGAGCAAGCACGUGCUACAGCAGAGAUCCAAAAGGUAAACUCUGAGCUCAGCCAUCAGGUCACCGAAUUACAAGAUCAAUUACAAGCUGAACGUGAAAGCACACAAGAGAGGAUUAACUUCGAGCGUGCUGAGAGAGAAAACCUUGAGGAGAGCUUAAAAGAAGAGCAUGCUGAUAUGGAAAGAUUGUUGGAAGAGGAGCGAAGAUCAACAUUGAAAUUUGAGAAAAACAUGAUGGCAAAGUUUGCACAGUUAUCCCAACAUACACAAACACAUCAGAUGAAUAAGAAAAGGACUAACAAAGAAUUAGUAAUCCAAACUUGCAAAAUACUCUUUUACAGACCGCUAGUACUACUGGGACUCUAGGUACAAGGCACAAUGUAAUUGCUCCCAAUACGCUCAUACAAGCUGCAACAAUUCGAAUGUUUCGAGCAAUGGUAAGUGGAUCCAAAGAUUAACUAGAAUGUACUCUAGACCAUGGACAAUUUACUCUUCACUCUUAAUUAGGUUGGCACAUUCAGUAUGUUGAAUGUGUGCUAAAUUAUAUUUCAGUUUCAUUUGAUGGAUAUUGGCUAUGCAAAUAUUGAUAUUGUAUGAAUGUACAUCAUAUAUGUAUUAUCUGAAUCAUGUAAUUGAAUGCAUGUAUAUUUUUUUUGGUUGCAA
This is a non-coding RNA of Triticum urartu, 1632 nucleotides long. The record is from RefSeq and is a predicted model, not a curated record. Lineage: Eukaryota; Viridiplantae; Streptophyta; Magnoliopsida; Poales; Poaceae.